GAGGGUGUGGCUCAAGCGGUAGGGCGCAUGCUUAACAUGCAUGAGGUCCUGGGUUCGAUCCCCAGUGCCUCCU
Camelus ferus (Wild Bactrian camel) is the source of this 73-nucleotide transfer RNA. It matches the Rfam family "tRNA". Rfam says of the family: Transfer RNA (tRNA) molecules are approximately 80 nucleotides in length. Their secondary structure includes four short double-helical elements and three loops (D, anti-codon, and T loops). Further hydrogen bonds mediate the characteristic L-shaped molecular structure. tRNAs have two regions of fundamental functional importance: the anti-codon, which is responsible for specific mRNA codon recognition, and the 3' end, to which the tRNAs corresponding amino acid is attached (by aminoacyl-tRNA synthetases). tRNAs cope with the degeneracy of the genetic code in two manners: having more than one tRNA (with a specific anti-codon) for a particular amino acid; and 'wobble' base-pairing, i.e. permitting non-standard base-pairing at the 3rd anti-codon position. The record is from Rfam. NCBI's taxonomy places the organism in Eukaryota, Metazoa, Chordata, Mammalia, Artiodactyla, Camelidae.